AGAACUGAUAAUUCGAGUGAUGGAAUGAUAGAGUAACGCCUUGAAACAUCACCUCUAAUACUCCGACUGGCUGCAUAAAUGGAAACAUUAGUGGUCAGAAGUUCGGUGAAGUCGGCAGAAGUUAGCCUAAACUCAGUAAUAACCGAUAGUAACAUUGGCACAAAAGAGGUUAGAGCCCACCUGUGUGAAGCGAUUAUGAAAGGCAUGGUUAAUGAUAUGUCGGGAGUCUAUAAA
Molecule: non-coding RNA, 234 nt
Filed under: uncultured Robinsoniella sp.
Lineage: Bacteria; Bacillati; Bacillota; Clostridia; Lachnospirales; Lachnospiraceae
Source: RNAcentral